This 532-nucleotide ribosomal RNA is filed under the name uncultured bacterium. Its description in RNAcentral is "partial 16S ribosomal RNA". It matches the Rfam family "Bacterial small subunit ribosomal RNA", at positions 355 to 902 of the family's 1533-position model. The record is from RNAcentral.
UGGGGAAUAUUGGACAAUGGGCGCAAGCCUGAUCCAGCAAUGCCGCGUGAGUGAUGAAGGCCUUAGGGUUGUAAAGCUCUUUCGCACGCGACGAUGAUGACGGUAGCGUGAGAAGAAGCCCCGGCUAACUUCGUGCCAGCAGCCGCGGUAAUACGAAGGGGGCUAGCGUUGUUCGGAAUUACUGGGCGUAAAGGGCGCGUAGGCGGCCUGUUUAGUCAGAAGUGAAAGCCCCGGGCUCAACCUGGGAAUAGCUUUUGAUACUGGCAGGCUUGAGUUCCGGAGAGGAUGGUGGAAUUCCCAGUGUAGAGGUGAAAUUCGUAGAUAUUGGGAAGAACACCGGUGGCGAAGGCGGCCAUCUGGACGGACACUGACGCUGAGGCGCGAAAGCGUGGGGGAGCAAACAGGAUUAGAUACCCUGGUAGUCCACGCCGUAAACGAUGAAUGCUAGACGUCGGGGUGCAUGCACUUCGGUGUCGCCGCUAACGCAUUAAGCAUUCCGCCUGGGGGAGUACGGCCGCAAGGUUAAAAACUU